AUGAAAGAGUUUGAAGGCAGAGUGAAGCAAAGCAUUCUUCAUUUUAUUUCAUCUAUAAAUUUUCCUCUAAUGAUCUGUAAAGGAGGGAAGAAAGAUGAGAUAAAGAAAAAAAAUAGACAGUCUCUACCCAUCACCUGGAUUUGGAGAUAGAUGCCAUGAAUUGAAUUUCUGUUCAACUAUUUAUAGGAAUUUGGGUCUAGGUGACACUUUUAGAAGGGACACUGAUAAAUUGGAGGUAUACAGAAGUUGGUGACCAGAAGAUGAAAAAAGAUUACAUUCAAUCAGGAUCAAGUGAAAGAUCUGGACACAUUUCACUUGGGGAAAAAAUUUGGUGGAGAUGGGUGGCUGAUAGUGAUCAUCAGGUAUUUGAACAUUUGUCAUGCAGAAAGAAGAGGGAUUAAACCUGUUUUAUUUGGUCCAGGGGGUAGAACUAGGAGCACUAAAGAGAAAUUGCAAAGCAAUGUAAUUAUAUAUUACAUGAAAUUAAAAAACAAACUUUGUUUCAAUUAGAGUUAUCACCUCCUUGAGAAGUAGUGGUGGUUCUCCUUCAUUGAAACUUUUCAAUCAAAGGUUGGGAACCACUUCUCAGGCAUAUAAUAAAUUUCUUGUUCUGAUAUGGAAAGCA
RNAcentral lists this long non-coding RNA (625 nucleotides) under Monodelphis domestica (gray short-tailed opossum). RNAcentral's name for it is "lncRNA (ENSMODG00000036764.1)". Lineage: Eukaryota; Metazoa; Chordata; Mammalia; Didelphimorphia; Didelphidae. The record is from RNAcentral.